UACGACUACAUAUCAGGCAUAUCAAUAAGCGGAGGAAAAGAAACUAACAAGGAUUCCCUAGUAACGGCGAGUGAAGCGGGAAGAGCUCAAAUUUGAAAUCUUAAAGGUUUUCCCUUGACGAAUUGUAGUUUAAAGAAGUGUUUUCUGUUGGAGUUUUCGGUAAAAGUUCUUUGGAAUAGGACAUCAUAGAGGGUGAGAAUCCCGUAUUUGACCAUUACUUUCCAGCUGUGUGAUACACUUUCAAAGAGUCGGAUUGUUUGGGAAUGCAGUCCAAAAUGGGUGGUAAAUUUCAUCUAAAGCUAAAUAUUGGCGAGAGACCGAUAGCGAACAAGUACCGUGAGGGAAGGAUGAAAAGAACUUUGAAAAGAGAGUUAAACAGUACGUGAAAUUGUCAAAAGGGAAGCGUUUGACACCAGUGUUGUUUUCUCGAAAAUCAAUUAAAAAUAACUUGAUUUUGUGUUGUAUUGACCUUAAAAGCUUUCUUCACUCUUUUCCUGUUAUUUUUAAUGCACUUUUCGUUUAACAAGUCAACAUCAGUUUCUUUUGUUGUAAAAAGGUCAUUGGAAGGUGGCUUUCUUUUCGGAGAAAGUGUUUAUAGCCUUUGACUACUGCAAUCGGAGAGACUGAGGUCUGCAGCGUAGAUCCUUUUUGGAUUAGAUUCAUUUGUGCUAAGUUAUAGCUUUUUAUAGACAACAUGUUGACUAUAUUUAGUCUUGUAACUUACUCGCUUAUGUAAUUUUACCUACGCUUAGGAUGUUGAAUCUGUGCGAGACUAC
RNAcentral lists this ribosomal RNA (776 nucleotides) under uncultured Neocallimastigales. RNAcentral's name for it is "partial large subunit ribosomal RNA". It matches the Rfam family "Eukaryotic large subunit ribosomal RNA", at positions 24 to 644 of the family's 3401-position model. The record is from RNAcentral. Lineage: Eukaryota; Fungi; Neocallimastigomycota; Neocallimastigomycetes; Neocallimastigales.